AAAUAAGAAGCUAAUUGUUAGCAUUUAGUUUCGACCUAAAAUUAUGGUGAACCAAUCACCCUUAUUUA
This 68-nucleotide transfer RNA is filed under the name unidentified. Its description in RNAcentral is "Adiscus speciosus tRNA-Arg". The record is from RNAcentral.